This 1783-nucleotide long non-coding RNA is filed under the name Canis lupus dingo (dingo). RNAcentral describes it as "lncRNA (ENSCAFG00020020407.1)". Lineage: Eukaryota; Metazoa; Chordata; Mammalia; Carnivora; Canidae. The record is from RNAcentral.
GCCCUCUAGUUUUAUGAUUCUGUUUCCUUGAAAUUUCUAUUUUUAAAAUAAAGACAUUUGAAGAUCUGAAUAUAUAAUGUGGAGUAUGGAAUAUGGUAUGUGUCUCAAGAUUAACUUUAAAUAACAGAUUUCCUCAGUCACAUUAUAAAAUACCAGUAGUAUUAACGUUUUUCAAUGGGUAAACAUAUGCAUUCAUAUUGAGACUCAUACUGUUGAUCGUAUUGAUUUAUUCAAUCAACUUCCUGUUAAUUCACUAUGAUCUUAGUGUCUGUAUAAGUGAACAAUAUUAUACAUCAAACAAAUCUAUCUUAAGAUGAGAUGUGAUUUUAAUGCAAAGCACAAUACUAUUAACCUGCCACAAAAAGAUUUUGGCUUUGAGUUAUUUUUCCAGUAGUAAUCAUAGUCACCUGCCUACCAGUGAUCAACAGCUUGAAAUUCUGAUAGAGAUCCUCAGAUUGGUACUGUUUGUGGUUUAUUGUUUUUUGUGGGGGUUUUUUUUUCCUUUUUAUUUUGGAUUUUAAAUUUUUAUUUAUUAUAUUUUAUUUAUUUUUAUUUUUUAUUUUUAUUUCUUUUAGUUGUUGGAAAGUCUGAGGGAGUAGAAUUGUGACACUGACUUAAUUUGUACCUUGGAGAAGAGAGGAUUCUGCUCACUUGGAGGCAUAUAAUAUGUCCCUUCCAUGGAUAUAUGGAAGAAUGUUGUAAUAAUAACUGUACUUUGUCCUUAAUGCAUUUUUUCAAUUCCAGGCACUUUGCAAAUAAAUGCAUUAUUUAUUGUAUUUUAACCACUGCUGCCUCCCCCAUGAAAAGAAUUAUUGAAGUUAAUUGUUUACCUAGGAUUAAGGUAAUGUUUACAGAUACAAACCAGCUACCUUCAGAAGGAUCAGGUGAGAAAACAUGGAAGGGAGAAAGAUGCCAGGGCCAUAAAGAAGGAGUGGACCAGACAGCGUGGGUGGAGAAGGAAAACUCCAUAAGCGCCUUUGGAUCAACUGCUCAAAGUUUUUGCACUACUUACUACUUGCAAGGGUUUAGCGGAGUCUUCCGCAUGAACAAGGAUAGUUGGCAUGAGUGAGGUGUGAAACAUAAUGCAGAUAAUACACAAGUUAUGCCCCUCAAGGCCAUGAAUAAUUGUGGCCAACCUUGGACAAGAAGUCAGGCAUCCCAAGAGUGGAAUUAAAAAAAAAAAGUGAAGUCAAGUCCUGAACUACACAGAGAAUACCUGUACACACACUCUCUUCUGAGCCUCUGUGACCACGGAAAACCACGGGGGAGAUGAUGUGAACAGAGAGCCUCUCUUUCUAGCCUCUGGCAGUGAGUAAUUCUACCCAAUAUAACUUUAUGAAGGUCACCUCCCAUCUUCUGCUUUUGAAUAGAGGCAGAAAGAGAAAUGUUUUGAAGGGUCAGUAUGAGAAAGAUUCAGCUCUUCAUGUUUAAUUUUGACUCUUCUUUAAAACGUCAUCUUGGGACUGUAGUUGUCAAGACUAUCAUGUGUCAGGUAUAGUCAAUAUCGAGGGAACUACCGUUAGGUACUUCGAGAAUGCUAUUGCCUAGGAACAAAAAUCAAAAAGUAUAAAAAUAUGGAGGAUAGGGAUCCCUGGGUGGCGCAGCGGUUUGGUGCCUGCCUUUGGCCCAGGGCGUGAUCCUGGAGACCCGGGAUCGAGUCCCACGUCGGGCUCCCAGUGCAUGGAGCCUGCUUCUCCCUCUGCCUGUGUCUCUGCCUCUCUCUCUCUCUGUGUGACUAUCAUAAGUAAAUAAAAAUUAAAAAAAAAAUAUGGAGGAUAAAACC